Long non-coding RNA from Ictalurus punctatus (channel catfish), 1611 nucleotides. RefSeq lists it as uncharacterized. The transcript is spliced from 2 exons. NCBI's taxonomy places the organism in Eukaryota, Metazoa, Chordata, Actinopteri, Siluriformes, Ictaluridae. The record is from RefSeq and is a predicted model, not a curated record.
AGUAGUAAUAUUGACAGGGCGUGUUGUUUAGAGAGUUAUCAAGGCGUUAACCGCUUUACGGGAUAAACUUCAUUCACACAAGCAGGAAGAUUUGAAUCUGUGGCGAGUCUGACGCUCUGGAUAGAAGUGGGCGUGGCCAGCGGCGCCGGACAGACUCAACGCAGGCUCCACUCCAUGAAUGAGUCAAGUCCACGACGAGCUGAGGGGGGAGAGACAGACUAAUUCAAACUCAAACAACGAGGAAGACGAAGCUUCUUAGGUUAUUUAUUCGCAGUUUUGUGCAAAAGCUCAUACCUAAAAGUCUCAAGUUAGUCAUUUUAACCGAAGUUACACGGUCACAGUCCGAGGGCUCAGUACUCCUCCACUAGAAUAAUCGGUCACCAGAGAAAGACCUGAUCAGCCACAGCUGCCUAACAAAACUGAGGACCAGGUCAUCUCAGGUAUCCAUGUUUUGGAUCCCUAUGCUGCAAUUCUUUUUUUGAUGUCUGUCUAUACAUAUCUAAAGAUAUCUAGUCAGAUCAGGUCUAUAAUUAUUUGGACAGUGAUACAAUUUUUGUAAUUCUGCCUCUGUACACCACCACAAUGGAUUUGAAAUGAAGCAAAUCAAGAUGCGAUUGAAGUGUAGACUUUCAGCUUUAAUUCAAGGGGGUUAGCAAAAAUAUUGCAUUAACUGUUCAAGAAUCCCUCAAUUUUUACAGGCUCAAAAGUAAUUGGACAAUCGACUGAUUCAUGACCAGGUGUGGCCUGUUGCCUCAUUAUUUCAUGACAAAUAAAGGAGAUAAAAGGUUCUGCGAUGGACUGGCACCCUGUCCAGGGUGUACCCCGCCUCGUGCCCGAUGCUCCCUGGGAUAGGCUCCAGGUUCACCCGUGACCCUGAAGAAGGAGUAAGCGGUAGAAGAUGGAUGGAUGGAUAAAGGAGAUAAAAGGUCUGGAGUUGAAUCCAAGCACUGAAUUUGCACAGUAAAGAUGGAUAAUGACCCAAAACAUACAGUGAAAGCAACUCAAGAGCUUCUUAAGGCAAAGAAAUUAAAUGUUCUUAAAUGUCCAAUGACCUCAACCCAGUUGAGCAUGCUUUUCACUUACUGAAGUCAAAACUGAAGGCAGAUGCAGUAAAGGCCUGGCAAAGCAUCUCAAGGGAGGAAACUCAGCAUUUAGUAAUGUCCUUGGGUUCCAGAUUUCAGGCAGUCAUUGACUGCAAAAGGAUUUCCAUCAAACUAUUACAAAUAAUCCUAAUAUUUUGAUUGUCCAUUUACUUUUGAGCGUGUGAAAAUGGAGAGAGUCUGCAAAAAUGGCUGUAGUUUCUAAAAGGUAACUGCACUGUUUUUGUUCAAGCUGAAAGUCUACACUUCGAUCACAUCUUGAUUUGCUUCAUUUCCAAUCCACUAUGGUGGUGCAAAAUUCUGAAAAUUGUGUCACUGUCCAAAUACAUAUGGACCUGACUGUAUGCCUGAUUGUAUACAUGGAAAUGUAUAUUUGAGCAGCAGAUCAUCAAGAUGGCAAAUAAGAUGAGUGGAUGUGAAACACUGAUAACCUUGAUACCACUGAUAACCCAAGUGGAGUAAUGUAAGGAGCUAAUUGGUUGCAAUAAAUAUUACCCUGAAAAAAAACCAA